This 253-nucleotide ribosomal RNA is filed under the name uncultured bacterium. Its description in RNAcentral is "partial 16S ribosomal RNA". It matches the Rfam family "Bacterial small subunit ribosomal RNA", at positions 524 to 776 of the family's 1533-position model. The record is from RNAcentral.
UACGAAGGGGGCUAGCGUUGUUCGGAAUUACUGGGCGUAAAGGGUUUGUAGGCGGUUGAACAAGUCAGUGGUGAAAGCCCAGAGCUUAACUCUGGAAUUGCCAUUGAAACUGUUCAGCUAGAGAGUGUUAGAGGAAAGUGGAAUUCCUAGUGUAAAAGUGAAAUCCAUAGAGAUUAAAAGGAAUAUCAAUGGCGAAGGCAGCUUUCUAGGACAUUUCUGACGCUGAGAAACGAAAGCGUGGGUAGCAAACAGG